UACGGAGGAUCCAAGCGUUAUCCGGAUUUAUUGGGUUUAAAGGGUGCGUAGGCGGAUGAUCAAGUCAGCGGUGAAAGUUCAUGGCUCAACCAUGAAAUUGCCGUUGAAACUGGUUAUCUUGAGUGUAGAUGAGGUAGGCGGAAUUCGUAGUGUAGCGGUGAAAUGCUUAGAUAUUACGAAGAACUCCAAUUGCGUAGGCAGCUUACCAGGCUACAACUGACGCUGAGGCACGAAGGUGCGGGUAUCAAAC
Molecule: ribosomal RNA, 250 nt
Filed under: uncultured bacterium
Lineage: Bacteria
Description: partial 16S ribosomal RNA
Rfam family: Bacterial small subunit ribosomal RNA
Source: RNAcentral